AGUGGUAGGAGAGCGUUCUAGUCAGCAUUGAAGCCAUACCGGUAAGGAGUGGUGGAGCGGCUAGAAGUGAGCAUGCAGGCAUGAGUAGCGAGAAAACGGGUGAGAAUCCCGUUCGCCGUAAACCCAAGGGUUCCUACACUAUGCUCGUCAAUGUAGGGUUAGUCGGGUCCUAAGCUGAGUCCGAAAGGGGUAAGCGAUGGCAAAUUGGUUAAUAUUCCAAUACCAACUAAUAGUUUAGUACGAUGGGGGGACGCAUAGGGUUAAACGAGGUCACUGAUGGAAUAGUGGCUCGAAGGGUGUAGAUAAGCUGGAUAGGAAAAUCCGCCGGCUGUUUUCGAGACCUGACAGGCAGAUCGAGUUCUUCGGAACAACAUCUGAAUCGUUGAUACCGUCGUGCCAAGAAAAUCCUCUAAGUGUAUUAUUAGUUGCCCGUACCGUAAACCGACACAGGUGGGUGAGAUGAGUAUUCUAAGGCGCGUGGAAGAACCCUGGUUAAGGAACUCUGCAAACUAGCACCGUAACUUCGGAAUAAGGUGUGCCUCCUUCUGUAUAGAGAUUUACUCUCGAAAGCGGAAGAGGUUGCAACAAAGAGUCCCUCCCGACUGUUUAUCAAAAACACAGCACUUUGCUAACUCGCAAGAGGAUGUAUAAGGUGUGACGCCUGCCCGGUGCUUGAAGGUUAAUUGAUGGGGUUAGUUCUUCGGAACGAAGCUCUUGAUCGAAGCCCAAGUAAACGGCGGCCGUAACUAUAACGGUCCUAAGGUAGCGAAAUUCCUUGUCGGUUAAAUACCGACCUGCAUGAAUGGCGUAACGAGAUGGGAGCUGUCUCAACCAGGGAUCCAGUGAAAUUGUAGUGGAGGUGAAAAUUCCUCCUACCCGCGGCAAGACGGAAAGACCCCGUGCACCUUUACUAUAGCUUGACACUGCAAUUGGGAUAUAUUUGUGCAGGAUAGGUGGGAGGCUUUGAUUCUAUGGCGCUAGCUGUAGAUGAGCUAUCCUUGAGAUACCACCCUUAUAUAUUCUGAUUGCUAACUUGCUUGGGUUAUCCCCAAGGAGGACAAUGUCUGGUGGGUAGUUUGACUGGGGCGGUCGCCUCCUAAAAAGUAACGGAGGCUUACAAAGGUUGGCUCAUAUCGGUUGGAAAUCGAUAGCAGAGUAUAAUGGUACAAGCCAGCUUAACUGCGAGACGUACAUGUCGAGCAGAGACGAAAGUCGGUCAUAGUGAUCCGGUGGUUCUGUGUGGAAGGGAGGAUAAAAGGUACGCCGGGGAUAACAGGCUGAUCUCCCCCAAGAGCUCACAUCGACGGGGAGGUUUGGCACCUCGAUGUCGGCUCAUCACAUCCUGGGGCUGAAGCAGGUCCCAAGGGUACGGCUGUUCGCCGUUUAAAGUGGUACGCGAGCUGGGUUCAGAACGUCGUGAGACAGUUCGGUCCCUAUCUGCCGUGGGCGUUGGAUGAUUGAGGAGAGUUGCCCCUAGUACGAGAGGACCGGGGUGAACGAACCACUAGUGUACCAGUUGUUCUGCCAAGAGCAUCGCUGGGUAGCUACGUUCGGAUGAGAUAACCGCUGAAGGCAUCUAAGCGGGAAGCCAACUCCAAGAUGAAUCAUCCCUGAAGAUCCGCAGAAGACUACUGCGUUGAUAGGCUGGGUGUGUAAGUGUCGAAAGACAUUUAGCUGACCAGUACUAAUAGAUC
Molecule: ribosomal RNA, 1694 nt
Filed under: marine sediment metagenome
Description: bacterial LSU rRNA
Rfam family: Bacterial large subunit ribosomal RNA
Source: RNAcentral